UUGCAGCAGACUGCUUUCUCCUACAUUCGAAGAGGAGAUGAUGUGUUACAUGGAUGUUCUUAUCACGUAGCAUGGCGAAUAGAAUAUUAAAAUCAGGAUAUUGUAAGAAGUAUGAUGUGUCCAGUAUUUCAAAAUUGAAUCUUAGUGAUGCUAUAUUUACAGCAAAAAAUCAAAUUAAGUUUAAAGAAUGUUUUCCAAGUGCCGACAUUAUAUACAUUUUUGGUAAGCCGACGAAAAUUUCUUGGAACCUUUUGUCGUAAACGAAGUUGUUAAUCGAACCAUUUAAAUUUUCUUAGAAAUGACCGAAUUUUGUGAUAUUAUAAUGGCUCACAAGUCACAUCACAGAGCAGAUAGCGUUGGAACGGUAAGAAAAACGCUCAAAUCAAAAUCGUCGAUUUAAAAACUAGAUGUGCAUUGGGUCCAAACAAGAUAGGUGAAUUCUUGCGAAAAUGAUUAACUAUGAUGAGGGAUUAUUAUAAUAAUCCUGAGGCAACAAACGAUACGAUCGAUGAUGAUGAAUAGUUGCAUUCAAAUGAUUUCGCUUAUUACGACAAGAAUGGCGGACUUUUCAUUAUCGAUAGAUUGAAGGAAACAAUGAAGUAUAGGGGAAAUCAAAUCUCUCCAUCCGAAAUUGAGAAUCUUUUGCAAACUCAUCCCGAUGCUCUUGAGGUUGCAGUUGUGGGUAUUCCCCAUAUGCUAGAUGAUGAGCAUCCCAUCGCUUUUGUUACCAAAGUUCUCGGUUUGAAGGUACCACUUUAUAGAAAAAAUUAAGAAAACUUGAUGAGAAUUUAGUUAUUAAAUUCUGCCCAACAUUUAGGUAACCGAACGAGAGCUUCAAAAAUUAAUAGCGAAAAAUAUAACGGAUUCCUAUCAUUUACGAGGUAGUGUGAAAUUUUUA
Molecule: long non-coding RNA, 898 nt
Organism: Vespula pensylvanica (western yellowjacket)
Lineage: Eukaryota; Metazoa; Arthropoda; Insecta; Hymenoptera; Vespidae
Exons: 3
Source: RefSeq, a predicted model, not a curated record